RNAcentral lists this ribosomal RNA (119 nucleotides) under Pteropus alecto (black flying fox). The record is from RNAcentral. Lineage: Eukaryota; Metazoa; Chordata; Mammalia; Chiroptera; Pteropodidae.
GUCUAUGACCAUGCCCCCCCGAACACACCCGAUCUCAUCUGAUCUCGGAAGCUAAGCAGGGUUGAGCCUGGUUAGUACUUGGAUGGGAGACCACCUAGGUACUGUAGGUGUUAAAAAAA